GCGCCGUUAGCUCAAUAGGCAGAGCAGCAGACUCUUAAUCUGCGGGUUCGGGGUUCAAGUCCCUGACGGCGCACCC
RNAcentral lists this transfer RNA (76 nucleotides) under Actinomadura sp. 7K507. RNAcentral's name for it is "tRNA-Lys". It matches the Rfam family "tRNA". From Rfam's summary of the family: Transfer RNA (tRNA) molecules are approximately 80 nucleotides in length. Their secondary structure includes four short double-helical elements and three loops (D, anti-codon, and T loops). The record is from RNAcentral. Lineage: Bacteria; Bacillati; Actinomycetota; Actinomycetes; Streptosporangiales; Thermomonosporaceae.